Arvicola amphibius (Eurasian water vole) is the source of this 4967-nucleotide long non-coding RNA. RefSeq lists it as uncharacterized. The transcript is spliced from 8 exons. The record is from RefSeq and is a predicted model, not a curated record. Lineage: Eukaryota; Metazoa; Chordata; Mammalia; Rodentia; Cricetidae.
UGAAAAUCACCAGGGGCUGUCAGAGUUGGGUCCUCUGAAAAAUUUACAGUGCUAAAUCAGAGCAUAUGCUGGGAGGGAAAAAUUGCUUAAGAUUGGAGCAAGUACAGUAUCUGUCUGCCCCCUAGUGUAAGAGUCCUCGCUGCCUAAAACCCAACUUUAUAAGAAAAGGAGCCCUUAAAGGGAAACGACUUGGGGCUCAUGUAGGCAUAGGAGAAUGAAACUUCUGUACAUUUUAUCUGAAUAAUUCUUCAGGAUUUAAAAUUAUUUGUCUGUGGCUUGGUUGGACUGCACUCGGAUCUCGCCGGCUCUACGUUUCUCGAGUCACUGGUGAAGGGAUGAUUUUUUUUUUUUUUGAACUGGGUUUAUGUGCGUCCCCCUCACCCCUCCUCUCUUUUUUCUUUCUGCCUCUGUCGUCUCUCUCGCUGGCUUUUUAAAAAUGAAGAACCGUUCCAUGAUGAUUUUGCACACAGCACAGAAUUGCGUCUUAAGUCAGCCCGGCGCGGUUGCAAUAGACAGCAAAAAGGUAAACCGUUUGCCUGAAUUCAGCACGCCAGCACCACCACCCCGCCCGAUGAUACGAGGACUGGAACCCAGGACUUUGCACACCUCAGGUGAUCUUUCUGCCAUCAAGCAAAACCUUCGGUCCACAGAGCAGUUUUCAGCAAAGAGAACAUGAACGAAAAAUUAUCAGCUAACGUCUCAAGGACACUUCAUGAGCCCAGGCCCUGCCCUGUGCUAAGCUGUGCAUUAAGGUUCUAUAACAGAAUGAAGAAGGUGGGGACACUUACCUGUGGGCUGAGGCUCGGAGGACAUUGUUCAGGUUCCCGCUGAAGCCAGAGUUCUGGAGAUAGACGGCUGGUCAAGGAAAUGAAGGCCAGAAGAGGGCACCAGACCUCAUUACAGAUGGUUGUGAGCCACCAUGUGGUUGCUGGGAAUUGAACUCAGGACCUUUGGAAGAGCAGGCAGUGCUCUUAACCACUGAGCCAUCUCUCCAGCCCCAAUGUGCAUUAUUUAUCAUAAGGGCCAUAGGAAGACUCACUUUAAAAAAAAAAAUUCUUGGAAGAAAACUUCAAAGUGCCAUCUACCACGUGGGCGGCUCUGCUCUGUCCUCUCCAUAAACACCACCAGCCAAGCGGCGACACGGGGAGUUCCUGAGCCCUGGAGAAGAUCUGCCAAAGAAACUUACUUCUAAGGAAGCCAGUGAUCUCAUGAAAAUGAUCAGCAGUAUAAAUCAAGUCAACAGAUUCAGAUGCUCUACAGUCUCCAGCGUCCAGAGCAGAUAACUGUGAUAACAAUUGCCUGGGACACGGGAGUAGCUGCUCUCAGCAGACAUCCCUUCUUCACUGGUUGACACCUUCAGGAACAGUGAAAGGUGAGCUAGGAAUAAUGGUGCAUGCCUGUAACCGAAGCACGAGGAAGCCUGAGGCAGGAGGAUUGGGAGAUUGAGGACAGCCUAGGUUAAUAGUUUGAGGCUAGUCUGGGCUAUACAGUGAGAAUCUGUCUUUAAAAAAUGUUUUUAUUCUAGGGGUUAAGGUCAGAUCCCAGGUCCUAGAAACCCUAACAAACCAAGACCAACUAUUUGUCCUCAAUAGGCCGAUUAGACAGACAAUCAAUUUGGUAGUGAAAUGCAUUCAAAGCAGAUUUGCUCCUUGUCACACAUUGAGCAAAUGUGUGGAGAAUAACAAAGAGAUGAUCUCCCUGACUCCAUCUUUGAGGUCCUUCCUGCCAUGAGGUUUAGGCUUAGAUAGAAGGCAGAAAGUGUGCUUGACCGGUUCUGGACAAGAUGUGGCUCUGCCCGUGAUCAUCACUUUGGCUCCAGGUUCUCCUAUAAGGAGGUCUACAAAACAGUCCAAAACACGUGAAACCUCUUAGGGGGAGACACUCCUUGUCUGCGUGACACCAUGCUCCUAGCCUGCAUGAGACUCCUGGAGAAGUUUCAGUUAUUUGGGAUGCAUUGUCUCAAGAACGUGAUAGCCAGAGAAGUGGCAAGGGUGUGCUUAGCUUGCCUUCAUCAUAGCCCCUCCAUUAGGUCACAGGCUGCAUUGAUGCUUGGGGACAUAUUUCCUUGUUCGUGGCUCCAGGCUGACAUUAGGUUCUUACUUACCUGCCUCAUCUAUGGGACCACACUGUGCUACUGUUUGAAUCUGGAGUGUCCUCCAAAGGCCCGUGUUGUAGAGGGCUUGUCCUUCAGCUGAUGUAGUUUUCACGAUGUCGUGGGGCAGGUAAGAGGUGGAAUGUACCAGAAGGAAGUUAGGUCAUUUAGAGGCUUGCCUUGGAAGGGGAUACUCGGACCCCGUAUUUCUUGUGUUUUGAGGUGCCAUAUGUGUUUUUCCUCUGCCACGUCUUCCCACCAUGAUGUUCUCUGGCAUCAAAAGCCCAGAACAACAAGAUUCCUCCUGAUGGACAGAAGCCACUGUCACUGUAAGCCAGAAGAAAACAGUCUUUCUCCAAAGCUAAUUUUCUCAAUAUUUAAAAUAUUCACUUAUUAAUUUUUUAGAGUGGGAAAACAGCGAGUAAUGGGGGCCCUCAGGGUUAGAAGACAAGGUCGGGUGUGUUCCGUUGACCUCAACAAGCUAAAAAUCUAAACACGAGCUGAAGCAUCUCUUCCAGCCCAGCAUAAAGAGAAAGCACGGCCCUAGACGUGGAGGGAACGGAGUGUGCUCAUUCCUCCGAGUUCCCUGUGGCUCCAGUGGGGAUUGAGCAGGCUCCGAGCACUAAAUAACCCUAAUGAUAUCAGGUAGGGGCUCACCGGGGAGCUGUUUGAGAGUUUGUCAGAGCAUAUUAAAAUACAAUCCAUCCCUAUAAUCCAAAAUGGAACAUCAGUCCAUCUGCCUGAACAUUCCUUUCUGAUAUUAAAUUAGUCUGGUGGCUUUUCAAAAUUCCAUCAUCUACUCAGGCCCCCUUCUUUAGUGACUAACACUGCGGUGGGAAUGGAGAGAAAAAUCAGAAUAGUGCACACUGGUGGAAGUUUCCUAAUUGAAGUCAUUAUUGCUUCAGAUGCCAUUGCUUUAAUCAGCAGAAUCAUAAAUCAAUGCUCCUCACAUGUGAAGGUUGAAAAAUAAAGUGAUGUCAAACAAAUUGGUCCUCUUAAAAGGCAUGAUGCAAUUGGAAACCACUGGAAAUGGGUGGAAAAAGUGCCUUCUGAAGGGAAACAUCGCUCUGCCAUUUUAUCUCCCACUUAAUUAAAAAAAUAUAUUACCUGGUCCUUUCUUAGAAAUUACAUAUUGGAGGUCUAUAAUGGCCGAGCCUCUAACCCAUUAAAAAAAAUUUACUCCCAGGAACAGUUAAUAUUUGACGUCUAAUUGCUUUUACUUGUUGGAGAAGAAAAGAUGUAUCUUUCCUUCCUUUCUUGAUGGACUUUUUCAAAAAUCGCCUUGUGAGCUAUGAAGAUGGAGAGGAGAAAUCGAUCUCAAGAAAGGCACAGUACAGAUAAAUAUGUAAAUGCAUACACAUAUAGACAGACAUAGCUUCUCUUGUGAGAGGACCUUGGGUUUCUCUCUGCACAACUGUGGUAGGUAGGUAGGUGCUGCCAUCUCUAGUUAAUGGAUCGGGUACAGAGGGCUAGAGAGACUGGCACUUGCACAGGGUUGGUUACCUGGGUAGCAAAUCCUGGGCAUCCUUUUUCCUCCCACCAUGACCAAGUUCAAUGCGUCCAGACAUACUUUUUGGUAGGUGUAAAGAGAUCAGUGGAGCCAGGACAGAAUGCCAUGCCAGAGCAGCUAAUUCUCACAAGCUCUUAGCCAGCCUCCUGAUUCUGGAACUUUACCACGUCAUCUACAAAAACCUAAUUAGGACUUAGGACUUUUCUGCAAGUCCUUCAUGGUGAUGGACCUAAAGGAGCAACCGAAUGAACUGUCACCCAUAUCAACCUAGAAGAGCUUCUAAUGAGAGUUGUCCGUCCAUGAGCAGGAAGGCUGGGCUUCAUUUAGAACAACGCCUUGCACCAACUCUGUGUGAGCAUUCAAGCCUCACGGUAGCGGGGCAGUGGUGGACAGAGGAGAGAGAAACCAUUUAUUUGAUUUUCAGAUGUCGGAAGAUUUCUACUUCUGCAUGCUCUAGCUUUCUUCCUUUUCCAGGCAAUAAAUUCAGCACCAAAGACCAAAGUGCUUUUGCUUUCUCUUCUUUCUUUGACACCUUCCCGCAAAGCCAGGUAUUACUGACCGCCCUUGAAAAGCUGAACGGAGCAACCGCUUCUCCUGAUUAUCCCUUCGGAGCUCAGGUGAUAGGCCUCAUCGGGUUUCACCCUCUGCGGCUUGUGGUCACAUAAGGGCUGUGCCUCUUACACCUCCCAGGAAAAUAUUUGUGUGUUGGUCUCACCAGGUUCCAUUUCUCCUAGGACUGGCGCUGCUUGCUCCACCUUCAGCGCUGUUGGCUAACAGUGGACUUAACGGACUUACCAGGGGAAGACUGCUCUUCUGAUUGGAGGCUAGGAGGCUGCCCUUCCCUUCUCUGACGUCAUGCUGCCAGAAUGGAUAAGGCUCCUGAUGCAGCUGCUAUCUGUCGACCUCCUGGACUGCGCAAGGAAGGGAGUGGGAGCUCGACCGAAGGUGGCCAAAAAUAACAGGGCCUUCCAGAUGAGGCGCCCUCAGAGCCAAGAGCAUCAUGGGGUAGAGUAUCUUUUUCCUAGUUUUAUGGCCUAAAAAGUACACAGAAGAUUCAAAGAUAUGACAGAGAGGAGGAAUAAAGUGUGCAGAGAACAAGGAAAUGUGAUUAGCUAUCAUGUUUCUUUUUUUAAAUUGAGUUUCUUUGUGCACACAUAUACACAAGAAACACAGGCCUUUUAUACAUGUAUGAAGAGAGAUCUAGAUCUCUAGAUGGAUGGAUGGAUGGAUAGAUAGAAAGAUUACAAAUAGACAGAACAGAAUACAACAGAAGACCAAAAGGGAGAGAAAAAAGAUAAAGGUAAUGUUGCCUUCCUUUGUUUGCCAUUGAAAUAAAUUUAAUAAAUCUGCAUUGAGAACCAAGGA